Molecule: ribosomal RNA, 312 nt
Filed under: uncultured bacterium
Lineage: Bacteria
Description: bacterial SSU rRNA
Rfam family: Bacterial small subunit ribosomal RNA
Source: RNAcentral
GACGAACGCUGGCGGCGUGCCUAACACAUGCAAGUCGAGCGGGGACUUAGGUGCUUGCACCUGGGUUCUAGCGGCGGACGGGUGAGUAACGCGUGAGCAACCUGCCUCAAACUGGGGGGAUAACGCAUCGAAAGAUGUGCUAAUACCGCGUAAGACCACGCUACCACAUGGUAGAGGGGUCAAAGGAGCAAUCCGGUUUGAGACGGGCUCGCGUCCGAUUAGCUAGUUGGCGGGAUAACAGCCCACCAAGGCGACGAUCGGUAGCCGACCUGAGAGGGUGAUCGGCCACAUUGGAACUGAGAUACGGUCCAG